Molecule: long non-coding RNA, 3240 nt
Filed under: Triticum aestivum (bread wheat)
Lineage: Eukaryota; Viridiplantae; Streptophyta; Magnoliopsida; Poales; Poaceae
Description: long non-coding RNA (TAES_LNC000586)
Source: RNAcentral
ACAUAACCACGCACUAGCAGCCGUGCCAUGGAAGGUCUCCUCCCCGCCCCUCUCCCACCCAGACUGUUGGUUAGUUUUCAUUUGGCCGCUCCCUUCCCUGAUGUGUCUUCCUCACGCCCGCGCAGGUUCUCUAUGUGCUUGCUUCUUCCCUUCCCAAGACGCUGUUGCUCCGACCCCAUGGAUAAUGUAAGAAUCUCUCUUCCCUCCCCUUCAGUUCGUCUCCUUCAUCCGGCCUAAAUUUGCUUACUGCACCACAAUAAAUAUUUCUUCAGAGAGGAGAAGAGGAGAGGUCCUGCAAUCCAACUUGUCUUCUUGAACAAUUGAAGCACAAUUAUUUGCAGCACCUGAAGUUUCAGACUAAAUAAAUUAUGUUGGCCACCUUUAUUUGGAAAAUUUAUCCUAUGUAUCAUGCAACUAUAGUUUCCUAUAGAAGGCCUUGUGCUUUCCGUUCCAAAAGUGCCACCAGUACGCAACGGACGUUCCAAAAAGUGCCGGUGGAAAAUUGUGAAAUCGGUAGUGCAGUUUGCAUCUUUGUAACAGAACAUGUUAUAAGAUGCAAACUAAAACUUGGACUCUGUAUCUAGUGUAUGGAGGUUUAAGUGAUUAUGUGAAUCUCCUUUUCCUCCAGUUGUGCCGCAGAUUUCAAUCAUUAUUUAUUUGCUUUAGAGACUGAAAAAUCAAGAGAGAGAUUAUGAAGUGUUUCUUUGCUGCUGAGAACACUGUACGUAUUCACUGUAAUUGACAUCCCUACUGUAUCAAUGUGUCUCCUUGCCCAUGCAGGUGCAGGACAGAGCCGCCAUAUGGUGUGCACGGUGAUUCUUUUUCCACUCUAAUGCCUUCCGCGCUACGUGUCCGAUGGACCCGAUUUUACUUCCACUCCGACAUAGCUAAUGGUAAGCCACUGGUGUUCUCUCUCGCUCUCAUGCUCUAUGUGUCCACGCCCAUCAUGCCAUGCUGAUUUAUAGUUGCCACCCAGACUCUUAUUAUCAAGCUGCUGCUUGGAGUUGUGAAAAGAUGUAGAAAGGGACUUGUUUGUUCACUGUUAACUGUGGUAUGAUGCUUGGUUCAAAAAUAAAAAGGGCUAGAAUGGGAAAAAGGGUCAUCAAUGUGAACUAAAAGUCUAUUGUUUUUUUUCUGGGUCUCCUUUGCAUUUUUAUUGUCAUGUUUCAUGCUUCAUAGCGUGUGUAUGUGCAUAUAAUUACACACAUAUACACUAGUUUGUAAUGUCACUAUAAAUAGAUGAUUCAUCAGACCAUCAGAGUUUGCAUCAGACUAUAAUCGAUGAUGCAACAGACCAUCAAAUCGAAAGGAGGAUAAUCUGCUACUUCAGGCAUUUACAUGAUAGCUUGUUUCUAUGUGUACUGUGUAAUAUGAAGUAAAAAAAAGUGUAGUUUGAUUCAGUGUCAUGCUUUACCAUUGAAUGAUCUUGAGCAACAUUGCACCAGCACGUGACUAGGGUGGAAAAGGUCAAGGGAAAACUAUCCCAGAGUCCGUUCUGAACUUAUAUUCAAAGCAAUGGGUAUUGAGCCUGAUAUUAUGUUUGCUGGGCAACUCGAAUCUAAAAGUGCAGGUCAAGAAACACCAGAACUAUUUCAUGUUUGUAUAUUUUUUAUUUACUCUGUCGUUUGUUUAUGUUUCCAGAUUAUUGUCGAGAUGUAGCUCGUUUGGUUCAUAUAAAUCUUAUUCCAAGCCUUUAUAUAGUUGUUUUAGGUCUAAUAUUUCACAGCAUUUCGAAGACAUUAAAGUUAUCAUUGACUUACACUGCACUGGACAUAUGAAAGUUAUCUUUUAUUUCACUCAAGUUUAACCUCAAGCCUAAGACUUAUUGGUCGAUAAGCACUGCUAAUGUUCAGAUUGAAAACGAAGCCCUAGGUCAGUGCUAGAGUAACUAUCUGGUGCUUCAACCCAGCCAGAGAUGAAUUCUGCACCCGGGUUUCUUCCUUCUUGUUGAUAAAAGUUAAGGGGCCCCUCCUCAUGUUGUGUUGAUUUAUAGUGUCCAGAUUGGUUAAGUUCCACCUUGCUCGAUGAAAGAUCUGCUUAUAGUACUUGAUAAAGGAAUUGUCAGUUCCUAAAUUCUCCUCUUUUGCGUUUAUGAUAAUUAGCGGAGUUGCAUGGUCUCACAAUGUUUAUGUGGUGGUUAGUUGCUCGAGCUUUUUUCUGCUUGUAUUUCAAUACUGGAAAAUAGAAGAGGCUAUCAAUGUCAGCACAGAGCUGCUGGGCUAUAGCAAUCUAACUAAUCAAGUUUCACAAUGACUUGUUGGUUCUCAACCGUUGUAGUUCAGAGCUGUAUGUCUAGUUUAAACUCGAGCUAACUCUGACCGAUGUAGAUGGUUUCCAAUAUAAUGCUACAUAAUUUCCCCUUUUGUAUUCCUCACCCUUGUUUGGCACUACUUUUUUUUAUCAGCAUAUGCAAACUUUUAUGUAACAUGCAAACUCUCAUGGAUCUGUAGUACGUGUGUUUGUAAGAACUUGAAUGCUGGUUUGAUGCUUUAUUUUCUACAAAGCUGGGCUAUAUAUUCAUGGCUGUUUCUUGAUAACUGUGCAUGUAACUGGGUUUCUUCAUUGAAUUAAAAUAAGUAUGUUUUUGGCUUUGGCCUAUAUGCUGCCUAAUUAAACUUAAAAAUUAGAGAGAAAUAAGAAAACUAGGAGAGAUGCAUAGAUUUAAUUAGAGAGGAAGUGCAAUCAAGUAUUUGUUUACUUUUCAUUUAAGCAAGCCAGUUUGUUGUACAUCUUUUGUUUUUGAUUUUUGGACUCAAGAGCAACUCAGAAGUUUGAACAAAUGAUAUUGCUGAAACAUACGAGUGAUCUUGCAGGAUAUAAUGGCAGAAGGUAUCAAAUCGAAGAUGUUAUGGCUUUUCUUCAUGGCAUGCAUGGUCGACCUACUUUCAUCAUAUGGAAGUUGUUGUUGGUUCGAUGAACAAAGACUUGGUAUGUUCCAUAGUGUUUUAUAUAGUGACCAGACAUGAGUCUCUUAUGAACUUAGCCCGUAUUUUGUAACAUGUCACAACUUGUAUGUCGACCUAUGUAUUUCCUUAGUGGUUGUAGCUAACUUGAGUGAAGAAAAUUAAUGAAUCUUCUAUAUGUUCAAUAUAUAUGUAUUUAUCAAUGGUAUCUUGUGAUGAAUACAAGAGUGCAAUUGUUUAUAUAUGUAUUGCGCAUUGAACAUGAAUUGAAUAUUAUGAAUGUAAUUUCAUUCAAAAUAUGGUGUGUUUGCAUUUGUGCUGAAAUGUAGGACCCUGG